RNAcentral lists this long non-coding RNA (234 nucleotides) under Elaeis guineensis (African oil palm). RNAcentral's name for it is "long non-coding RNA (EGUI_LNC029577)". Lineage: Eukaryota; Viridiplantae; Streptophyta; Magnoliopsida; Arecales; Arecaceae. The record is from RNAcentral.
GCUUUAUUGUGUCACUAGCUUUAUCUUCAUAUUUAUUAUCGGGUAUUGUACAUUCGACGAUAAAGUCGAUCAAAACUUGCACCUUCAUUGACAAACAUGGACGAUAUUGUAUAUCAAAUUUAUCAAACUUUAUUGUCCACUUUGUCAUUCGACCCGACGUAUCAGGUCGGUGCAAGAUUACCUUCAACGGUUGGUCUGUCAAGAUAAUGAUGGGGUGUGCUUGAAAGUACGGGC